This 503-nucleotide ribosomal RNA is filed under the name uncultured bacterium. Its description in RNAcentral is "partial 16S ribosomal RNA". It matches the Rfam family "Bacterial small subunit ribosomal RNA", at positions 30 to 523 of the family's 1533-position model. The record is from RNAcentral.
AUCGAACGCUGGCGGCAGGCUUAACACAUGCAAGUCGAGCGGGGUGAUGGUGCUUGCACUAUCACUUAGCGGCGGACGGGUGAGUAAUGCUUAGGAAUCUGCCUAUUAGUGGGGGACAACAUCUCGAAAGGGAUGCUAAUACCGCAUACGUCCUACGGGAGAAAGCAGGGGAUCACUUGUGACCUUGCGCUAAUAGAUGAGCCUAAGUCGGAUUAGCUAGUUGGUGGGGUAAAGGCCUACCAAGGCGACGAGCUGUAGCGGGUCUGAGAGGAUGGCACGCCAAGCGGGGACUGAGACACGGCCCAGAGUCCUACGAGAGGGAGCAGUGGGGAAUAUUGGACAAUGGGGGGAACCCGGAUCCAGCCACGCCGCGUGUGUGAAGAAGGCCUUAUGGUUGUAAAGCACUUUAAGCGAGGAGGAGGCUCUUUUGGUUAAUACCCAAGAUGAGUGGACGUUACUCGCAGAAUAAGCACCGGCUAACUCUGUGCCAGCAGCCGCGGUAA